CUUAUCCAGAAAAUGAGCUGAAGAUGCGAGAGAAGCCAUUAACGGUCAGAGACUUAUUUAACGAAGGCCUCGUCAAUUGAGGAUGUUACUCUAAGUAUGAAAAUGCCCUUGGGCUGGAAGAGGGUCAAGUCAGAUUAGAGCCAAAACAUGUUGCAAUAUAGAUUUAAGCAGGGAACUGGGUCGACAGGUCAAAUAUAUCUCAGCCAAGCUUCACUUCAUCAGGCCUACAGUUCUGGAAGCCAUUAACCUACCGGUGAGGCAGUAUGUCCAGUUUUCAUAUGACGUGGGUGUACAUACAUAAAACAUGUUUUUGGCAACAUAGAAAAGCAAUCUGCAGCAGUGUCUGGUUCACCCAGUGUAAUUAGGGCACUUUACUGCACUUGUAUUGCAAAAAAAAAAAAAAAAUCAUCUGGAGAGAAUGAAGCUGCUUUUUCUAACCAUAAACAGUUACAUUCCAUUAAUGCACAAGUCAUCUGUUAUGCCAAGAUGAGACUAACAAAUGUCAUGGCUCAACGGACUAGGUCAACCUGUGAUGGAUUUAUUUUGACGCAAAGUAGCUGUGAUAGACAUGAUGGUACUCUACUUGGUGGCUGGAUUUUUGGCAAGGUAACUAACUGGCUGAACCUCCCAUUUUUACAAAUAGCCUGUACUAUUCAUUGUAACUGCAAUCGCUUCAUUACAUGUGCCAGGCAAUAGCAGCUGCCCAUUUAGAUGCUGUUACCUUUAGCAAU
Molecule: long non-coding RNA, 731 nt
Organism: Polypterus senegalus (gray bichir)
Lineage: Eukaryota; Metazoa; Chordata; Cladistia; Polypteriformes; Polypteridae
Exons: 3
Source: RefSeq, a predicted model, not a curated record